GUAGAAUUGAAAUUUAGAUUCAACGAAAUCUUUUCGUACUUGAUGUAAAGACCGUAUGGAUUCUCGACAACUCUCUUUUUCACAGUUUUAGUAGAAAAUCUUGCCGUCUUCGGCUUUACAUACAAGAGUCAGUCUGUGAGUAUUUCAAUAGUUUUUUCUUUGUUGUUUAUAAUCCUGAUUUAUCCAUAAAUAAUAAUCUCUGGGCUAGUUAUAUAUGACUCAAACCAGCAGCACCGUAAAAACGUUGAGGCUUAUAAAACACUAUAGAAUAGGCUGUUAUUUAUGACACUAGAUCGGAAAAAGACAUUAAACAACCUUUUGCUCGAAACGAUUAAACCACUUUUGAAUUCUGGCAGCGUACAAAUGAUAAGACUUCUGCUUGCUUACGCGGAAAGAAUGCGGGGGUGGGAAAUUAUCACAUAACACCGUUUUCACAACGAUUAUUUUCACCGGUUCUCUUCAUGGUGUAUCUUGAAGAAGUGUUUGGUAAUCUGAGAACAGUAGUGAGCAAAAAUACCAACAAUACUUUAUCAACAAUUUCAAAUAUUCAAAUCAUAUAUAUUUUGUUUGUAUGAACAGGUAUGCUUCUUUAAUAAAUAGAUGUGUUUUUGAAAUGUCUCAUGCUUCGUAAAUCUUUCAACUCACGUAAAGUUAAGGGCUUUUGAUUUCAAAUAUCUCAUUGGAACUCGCAAUUGCUAUUACUUCCAGUGUUUUUCAACGAUAAUAAGUUUAAUAAUAUGAUUAUAUUUAAUCCUUAUUUAAUUGAAUGAGCAAAAUAACAGUAUCCUACACUAACUGAUUUACUUAUUUUAAUCUUUCCAGAAAGUUCGCCACGGUGAGAAAUGCAUUCAGAAGUGACGGACGCAAAUGCCUUUAGUUUACAGUGUCAUUGUCUCGGUCAAACCCUGCUGUAUAACAAACUUUCUUCCUUACAAAGAUAUUACGUAGGAGACAAACGUAAUUCAAAGACAAUAUGUUGUUCUAAAUCGUAAAUUUCGAGAAGCAUUAGUAGGAAACCAAUCUAAAUGUUCUUGAUGAUCAGUGUUUGUAUAUUUUUAAAUGGAAAAUAAAGUUUGCAUAUUGUAAAUGUUUAAAAAUUUACAUAUAGAAAUUACAUAAGGAAUUAUCUUGAUAAUUACUAAAAAUAAUUAUCUGAUAGCGGAAAACUUAGUGCGAAAAGACAGUUUGGCUCCAACUGAAGUAUAUAAUGAUUUUAACUUUUUUUCUAAAUUUUCAGAAUGAAACUUCAUUUAUGUUUAUUAAAGAAAUGCAAGAUUUUUAAAUAAGGGUAUACAAUUGUUACUAUUUACAUUUGUUCAUGCAAUCUAACAAUACUUUCUACUAAAAGAACAAGGCCUGAAAUUUGGCGGUAGGAAACUAGUUAAUUACAUCGAACCCAGUGUUUAACUGGUAGUUAAUUUAUCGAUCCCCGAAAGAAUGAAAGGAUAAGUCGACCUCGGUGGAAUUUGAACUCAGAACGUAGCAACGGACGAAAUGCCGCUAAGCACUAUGCCAAGCGCACUAACAAUUCUGCCAGUGUGCUGCCUUGUAUGCUACCUAAUAAUAAGAUAAUACCGAAUUAGGAUUUUAAAGAUUUAAAACAUAUGAGCGAUCACAAUAUAACACAUUAUCUUAACAAUGAUAGAUAUGUAUAUGAGGGCACAUUUAUAUAAAAUUUAGUUUCAGUAAAACAAAAUAUAGAAAUAAAUAUAGAUCUAAUAAGCAGACAAUAUAUUUGCAUCACGUUGUACAUUACUUAUAUUGGCUAUCAAUAACUGUUGCUGUUGUUUAGCAGUGAUCAUCCUUUCUCUUUCAGACAUCUUGAACUUCAUUAUCAAAUGUAUCUUUUCUUUUUUUAAGAGUGGAGUACAAUUUGAGGGAUAUUGGCUGCUAUUUCUACUAGACCGGGCGACCAUAGAGAGAAAACCUUGGUUGUUGCUUAACGCAAGGGGAUCCCUUAUCGUGAAGACCUAUGAUCAUAGGUAUUCCCGUAGUGACCACAGUCUGCUUCACAGCCACCAUGCACCUAGAAUCACAUCAUCCAAUAUGUCCUUUUUAAA
This 2060-nucleotide long non-coding RNA is filed under the name Octopus vulgaris (common octopus). Lineage: Eukaryota; Metazoa; Mollusca; Cephalopoda; Octopoda; Octopodidae. The record is from RNAcentral.